RNAcentral lists this ribosomal RNA (487 nucleotides) under uncultured bacterium. Its description in RNAcentral is "partial 16S ribosomal RNA". It matches the Rfam family "Bacterial small subunit ribosomal RNA", at positions 30 to 507 of the family's 1533-position model. The record is from RNAcentral.
AUUGAACGCUGGCGGCAUGCCUUACACAUGCAAGUCGAACGGCAGCACGGGUGCUUGCACCUGGUGGCGAGUGGCGAACGGGUGAGUAAUACAUCGGAACAUGUCCUGUAGUGGGGGAUAGCCCGGCGAAAGCCGGAUUAAUACCGCAUACGAUCUACGGAUGAAAGCGGGGGACCUUCGGGCCUCGCGCUAUAGGGUUGGCCGAUGGCUGAUUAGCUAGUUGGUGGGGUAAAGGCCUACCAAGGCGACGAUCAGUAGCUGGUCUGAGAGGACGACCAGCCACACUGGGACUGAGACACGGCCCAGACUCCUACGGGAGGCAGCAGUGGGGAAUUUUGGACAAUGGGCGAAAGCCUGAUCCAGCAAUGCCGCGUGUGUGAAGAAGGCCUUCGGGUUGUAAAGCACUUUUGUCCGGAAAGAAAGCCUUGGCCCUAAUACGGUCGGGGGGAUGACGGUACCGGAAGAAUAAGCACCGGCUAACUACGUG